This 507-nucleotide ribosomal RNA is filed under the name uncultured Eubacteriales bacterium. RNAcentral's name for it is "bacterial SSU rRNA". It matches the Rfam family "Bacterial small subunit ribosomal RNA", at positions 36 to 507 of the family's 1533-position model. The record is from RNAcentral. Lineage: Bacteria; Bacillati; Bacillota; Clostridia; Eubacteriales.
AACGUUUGUAGUCCUAGGCGUCAAGGAUUAAACGACUGGCGGCGCACAUAAGACAUGUCAAUUCGAACGGACUUAACUACUAUCUUUUAGAUUGAGAGCGGUUAGUGGCGGAACUGGUGAGUAACACGUAAGCAACCUGCCUAUCGAGAGGGGGAAGUAAACAGUAGAGAAAUCAUUGCUAAUACCGCAUAUGCUCACAGUAUCACAUGAUACAGUGAGGAAAGGAGUAAUCCGCUGAUAGAUGGGCUUGCGUCUGAUUAGUUAGUUGGUGGGGUAACGGCCUACCAAGACUACGAUCAGUAGCCGGACUGAGAGGUUGAACGGCCACAUUGGGACUGAGAUACGGCCCAGACUCCUACGGGAGGCAGCAGUCGGGAAUAUUGCGCAAUGGAGGAAACUCUGACGCAGUGACGCCGCGUAUAGGAAGAAGGUUUUCGGAUUGUAAACUAUUGUCAUUAGGGAAGAUAAAGGACUGUACCUAAGGAGGAAGCCCCGGCUAACUAUGUG